Molecule: ribosomal RNA, 253 nt
Filed under: uncultured bacterium
Lineage: Bacteria
Description: partial 16S ribosomal RNA
Rfam family: Bacterial small subunit ribosomal RNA
Source: RNAcentral
UACAGAGACUGCAAGCGUUAUUCGGAUUCACUGGGCGUAAAGGGUGCGCAGGCGGCCAAGUGUGUGAGGCGUGAAAGCCCGAUGCUUAACAUCGGAAUUGCACCUCAAACUACAUGGCUAGAGCAUUGGAGAGGGUAGCGGAAUUCACGGUGUAGCAGUGAAAUGCGUGGAUAUCGUGAGGAACACCAGAGGCGAAGGCGGCUACCUGGACAAUUGCUGACGCUCAGGCACGAAAGCGUGGGGAGCGAACAGG